CUUGCCCUGGGCCAUCAGUAAGAAGAUCUGCUCUUAGUAGAGCCCUGCUUUCCCGCUGAAGGCCCUGAAAUCACCUGUGUUCCAGGCCACCCACUAAGGAUAAAUAAAGCUCCCCUGAGGUGGGGGAAUUAGCUCAAGUGGUAGAGCGCUUGCUUAGCAUGCAAGAGGUAGUGGGAUCGAUGCUCACGUUCUUCAAACUUUAUUUAGACCCCGGGUCUCCAAACACUCAGGUCUCCAAACCCAAGUCAGAAAGCAGGAUGCUGCUUUGGUUCAAGAUGUAGGAGCAGCAACAAUACAGGGCUGGUGACGGCUCCCUCCUGGCAUUCAGUAUAGCAUAGAUCUACCAUGUAAUUAAUUUUCUGCUUCUUCGAGGAGCUGUGAAACCAAGGGACAUAAACAAUUGCUCUUUUCUCUUUCUGCCUGUAGCUUGAAUGUGAGGCAACUGUGAAAAGUGCAGGGCAGAGCCACCUGGGUAAAUACAGCCCUGGCUUUCUGGUGAGAGGACUGA
This 508-nucleotide transfer RNA is filed under the name Pongo abelii (Sumatran orangutan). RNAcentral describes it as "lincRNA". The stretch from base 123 to 195 matches the Rfam family "tRNA". Lineage: Eukaryota; Metazoa; Chordata; Mammalia; Primates; Hominidae. The record is from RNAcentral.